RNAcentral lists this ribosomal RNA (683 nucleotides) under uncultured Pseudoalteromonas sp. Its description in RNAcentral is "bacterial SSU rRNA". It matches the Rfam family "Bacterial small subunit ribosomal RNA", at positions 1 to 671 of the family's 1533-position model. The record is from RNAcentral. Lineage: Bacteria; Pseudomonadati; Pseudomonadota; Gammaproteobacteria; Alteromonadales; Pseudoalteromonadaceae.
CCCUUAGAGUUUGAUCCUGGCUCAGAUUGAACGCUGGCGGCAGGCCUAACACAUGCAAGUCGAGCGGUAACAGAUUGAUAGCUUGCUAUCGAUGCUGACGAGCGGCGGACGGGUGAGUAAUGCCUGGGAAUAUGCCCUGAUGUGGGGGAUAACUAUUGGAAACGAUAGCUAAUACCGCAUAAUCUCUUUGGAGCAAAGAGGGGGACCUUCGGGCCUCUCGCGUCAGGAUUAGCCCAGGUGGGAUUAGCUUGUUGGUGGGGUAAUGGCUCACCAAGGCAACGAUCCCUAGCUGGUCUGAGAGGAUGAUCAGCCACACUGGAACUGAGACACGGUCCAGACUCCUACGGGAGGCAGCAGUGGGGAAUAUUGCACAAUGGGGGAAACCCUGAUGCAGCCAUGCCGCGUGUAUGAAGAAGGCCUUCGGGUUGUAAAGUACUUUCAGUUGUGAGGAAGGCAGUAAAGUUAAUAGCUUUGCUGUUUGACGUUAGCAACAGAAGAAGCACCGGCUAACUCCGUGCCAGCAGCCGCGGUAAUACGGAGGGUGCGAGCGUUAAUCGGAAUUACUGGGCGUAAAGCGCAUGCAGGUGGUUUGUUAAGCAAGAUGUGAAAGCCCGGGGCUCAACCUCGGAACAGCAUUUUUGAACUGGCAGACUAGAGUACUGUAGAGGGGGGGUAGAAUUUUC